UGGCGGUGACUAGAGGACGUGGCAAUGGAAGAUGAAGCGAUAGGGGAUCGCGAUGUGGGUGGUUCAAUUUCAGGACGAGGGACUACAGUAAGAUCAAAUGCUACCGAUAUGACAAAUUGGAGCAUCAUGUCAAAGAUUGUCCUCAACUCAAGGAUCGGAUGAUGGCUAUUAUGGCGGCGGCUAGUAGCGACACUGAGAUCGUUGAUGCGCUUAUGGUCUCAGAUGAGGUAUCUACUCCUUCCCAGCAGUAGAUUUUAGACUCUGCUUGUU
This 270-nucleotide long non-coding RNA is filed under the name Elaeis guineensis (African oil palm). RNAcentral describes it as "long non-coding RNA (EGUI_LNC026072)". The record is from RNAcentral. Lineage: Eukaryota; Viridiplantae; Streptophyta; Magnoliopsida; Arecales; Arecaceae.